AAGGCGUGAAAGCGUGGGGAGCAAACAGGAUUAGAUACCCUGGUAGUCCACGCCCUAAACGAUGAACACUAGUCGUCGGGAUGCUAGUCAUCUCGGUGAUGCACUUAACAGAUUAAGUGUUCCGCCUGGGGAGUACGGUCGCAAGAUUAAAACUCAAAGGAAUAGACGGGGACCCGCACAAGUGGUGGAGCAUGUGGUUUAAUUCGAAGAUACGCGAAGAACCUUACCUAGCCUUGACAUUGAUUGAACACACUAGAGAUAGAGUGGUGCCCUUCGGGGAACAUGAAAACAGGUGCUGCACGGCUGUCGUCAGCUCGUGUCGUGAGAUGUUGGGUUAAGUCCCGCAACGAGCGCAACCCUCGUCCUUAGUUGCUAGCAGUUCGGCUGAGCACUCUAAGGAGACUGCCUUCGUAAGGAGGAGGAAGGUGAGGACGACGUCAAGUCAUCAUGGCCCUUAUGGCUAGGGCUACACACGUGCUACAAUGGGGCGUACAGAGUGUUGCGAUACCGCGAGGUGGAGCUAAUCACUUAAAGCGUCUCUCAGUUCGGAUUGGAGUCUGCAACUCGACUCCAUGAAGCUGGAAUCACUAGUAAUCGUAGAUCAGCAAUGCUACGGUGAAUACGU
RNAcentral lists this ribosomal RNA (625 nucleotides) under uncultured bacterium. RNAcentral's name for it is "bacterial SSU rRNA". It matches the Rfam family "Bacterial small subunit ribosomal RNA", at positions 748 to 1371 of the family's 1533-position model. The record is from RNAcentral.